Columba livia (rock pigeon) is the source of this 5515-nucleotide long non-coding RNA. RefSeq lists it as uncharacterized. The transcript has 7 exons. NCBI's taxonomy places the organism in Eukaryota, Metazoa, Chordata, Aves, Columbiformes, Columbidae. The record is from RefSeq and is a predicted model, not a curated record.
UACUGUUGGAGAAGGAAAUCGCCAGUGCUGUAAGAGGAAAAGACCCUAUCGAAAUGCUUAUGUUGGGACUGUCGAUCUAUUGGAAGUCUUAUAAUGAAUACUUGAUUUGUUUAUAUAUAAGAUCCUUUUAGCACCUACAUAAUUUUAAGCACAGGCUUGUGUCCUUUGCUGAAUGAGCAGCUGGAUCUGAGUUGGCCAGGCAGAAGAUACCUUCUGGAUAAAGGAAUGAAAUAUUUAUUGAUCAUGCGCAUUGUCUCUUUAGCCUCACAUUGCCUUCACGUUGAAGACAACAUGGCAAUUUGUUGAAGGAGAAGAAAUAUAUUUUUGAUUUGUUCCAGGCAGUAAAGAAGCUUUACAAGGCUCUCGGCAAUUGUUCAAGUGUAUCAUACCAUUUGUGAUGGCUUUAUAAACUAAGCGUAGCUUGAGAGAGUCGAGGGUGAGUCAGCCUGAAAGAAAACAUAUAAUUAAUAUUGUACUGUAAAUGAUUUGGGAGUGAGAUUAUCCAUGAAAAUCGGAGCUAUUACCCGGCUGUGCAUAAUGAAUGGUGGUUGGGGUGGGUAAAUGGAGAGUUGAAAGAGAGAAAAACUGUGUUUAAGAUGAAAGCUGCUUUCAGUGAAGACAGGAUCAUAGCAAAAAUGUAACAGGAGAAGUGAAAUAUAAUUAGGAACGUGACAUUAAUACUGGAUUUGCAGAAUGUUGCCUAACAGGUGGGUGGAGUUUAUUUGACUUUGUUUCAGCUGGGGUAUUGAAUCACACAGAUGCAGUCUUUAAAAUUAUUUUAGACUGUGAGAAAAAAGGUAACAAGAAUGUUCAAAUACAUGAGCUCCCACCAUCAGCAUGUGUCCUCGCUCUUUCUCUUCCAGCUGUAAUAAUCACCUCCCAGUUAAGAUGGUUCUUGCUCUUCCUCUGUCACUCCUUGUUUCUGCAGCUCUGCACUGGAAAGCAGAGGGGAUAUUGGGUUUCCUUUCAUCACAAUGACAAGCUGGGGAAACAUCUGGUUUGAACAAAAUGUGCAAAAGGUUUGAAAAGGAAUUAAGUUUGUUUUUUUUUUUUGCAUUUUUUGUUUAUGCCUGUUAGACACUUAUUUUUAUUAAAAUAAAAUUUAUGAGUAUAAUAUGAAGGAAAGACAGUUAAAAGAUCAAAUUGUGUAGUAAUCAGGGAGGAAACCUAUGAAAGGCAAAAUGUCCACCAGAAUGGACAACAUGAGUCGCUUUCUGGAUGCCAGGAUGGAAGCGUCAAUAUAGAAACAUUUGUUUCAGUUUAUGAACUUUUUUGCAGUCCAGCUAAAAUAUCAGCACCACCUGUGAUAUGAGCAUCAGAUUUAUUAUCAGCUUCUCAGGAAUUGCAAAACAGCCUAACUCCACCCGACUGUUAAUAAAUCAGGUGCUGAAAGCACUUCAAAUGAGAACCUUGCUGAAGAGACAAGUAACUCAUGAGGAUCAAAGGCUCAAGUCAGUUAAACUGGCCAUUUGCCCUUUUGGCAUAAUCAAAAUGUAUUUUCGAAAAAGAAGAAAUGACAAAAAAAAAAAGAAAAAAUCACGGGACAUCGUGUUUCUAUCAGACUAAGACAAAUAUUAAAGUGAGAGUGGGCAUCAGUAAUUCACUCUGAUUCUGCAAAACUGAGUUUUAUAAUGUGGCAGAAUCAGUAAAGCUUACAGAUUUGAUCCAAAGCCCACUAAAGCCAUCGAAAAAGAGUAUUUCUUUUUCUUUCACUGGCUUGGAUCUGGCUGUUGGGAGCUGCUCACUUUGGACAACAAGCGUCUGCUCUCUAGUGAAGCUGACUUGUCUUUUCACUUUGUUCCCCUGUACUCUUACACACAUGCUGAAAAUAAACUGAAAGCCAGGCUUCUGAUGAAAGAAACUGCCUGAAAAAUAUUGCAAUACCCAGCUUCCUGGAUUAAUUAAUAAAAUUACUUGCUCAUCCACAUAGAUUAUAUGCUGGGCGUUUAGCUGGUAUGCUCUAGGGAAGAGGUGAGAGGAAAGUUCAAAAGUGGGUGGAGGUGUAAGGGAGAGAGAGGAGAACACAGAUUAAGAAAUAUUGGGAAUAUCAAUUCAUGAUUGCAGGAGUAUUUUUUAAAUGCUUCAUAUUCCGCUGAUUUGCAUGAAUAGCAUUGGUGUGGCUAAUCAGCUGAAACUGUCAGGGACAUUAACACUGGAAGCUUUACAGGAGCUAUAUUUUCACAAGCUCUAACUCCUUUUUUUUUUUCCCCAUUUGCAGUGGGCAGAAACUGUAGAGAUUUUAUUGUUCAGCAUCAGCGAGUGUCCACUUCUGUUUGAGUUUCCUCUUUCUUUCCUGUGUCCUCUUACUGGUGGUCUGCAGUACUGGUUGUUAGGAACUGGUGUUUUUUCUUUUUCUGGAUGACUGUUCAAGUCAGAAAGAGAAUGAGGAAGCAUUUUUGGAUGAUCAUGUAUCCAAGUGGCAUCCUGGAAGGGGUCUUUAUACCAGGGUAAAUAUGGGCUCCACAGGUGUGUUGCCCUUGGUAGAUGAUGCAUUGACCUUCCCACACUCGGUAGCAAAGCAAAUGUGAGUCACAAACAGUAGUGUGGGUGGAAAUGGUGUUUCAGAGGAAUUAACACUUUCAGGCUUGCAGGUGUAAUGCUGAGGGAUAAAAGCUCUCUUUCACCUGGGUAGCCAGGUGCAGUGCCACUGAUCUGAGCAGACUUAUGGUCCUGGGUUACAGGCGGUGCAGGAGGGACACCAGUCACAUUCCCGUGCUGGUGAUGUAGACCUGAAGUGCAUGCAGAAGUGGGCGACUCACCAGUGCUAGAGCAGAGCGCUUCUGCCAUGGGACUGCACCAUGUGUCCUCUUCCACCGGCUGCUGUGGGUGACACAGCUUCUCUGGCUUUACAUUUCCAGCUACCAAAUGGAAAACACCAUCACUCCAUGGUGCAAAACACUGAUCCCAUAUAUCCUGAUGUCACAGGUCUAAGUUUGUUCACCAUUUUGGAAGGCUGGAAAGAAGCUGGCACAAGCUCACAUCACGUGCUGUAUCUAAUUUGGCAGGAGCAGUCACAUGUCCACAGUGUGAUCUGUAUCAGAUUUGUAUGGCUGAGUCAUCUGGUAUCAAUUCCUGUGAAGGCUCCAUCGCUGCAGACUCUCACAUGUUCCUGGAGCCCCCACUCCCGUCUUUAACUCACUUAUCGCAGUUCUGCCAUAGCCCUGCUCCUCCGCCACCGCCCCAAUUCACCCAACACCUCUUCUGUAGCUCAGGAACUUCUUUUCCCAAACACACAAGUCACCUCAUCCUGGACUCAGCAGUCCAGUAAGUCACACAAGCUUUGUAAACAAUUCCUGAACCUCUCAUUCUUUGCUGUUGACAGCAUAAGAAAUCAAAUGUUGUCGAUACCUCCCUUCUUCUACUUUGAGAAGUCCAUAACUUUGCCUCCCUUUUCCACAGCCUCUUGCGAAGAGGUCAGAGAAAAUUGUUUCUUAUCAAGCCGCUUCCUUCUCUUCUCAUCUGAAAACCAUUGUUCUGGUCAUCACCACACCAUCCUCUGUGUCUACGCCCGGCUCCUCCACCCGCAAGAGGUAAUGAGCAACAGCCAAAGACAUAACCAUGUUUUCACAAAAUGUGGAUGGAAAUUGGACAUUGGAGCCAGGCCACCAGGUUAUCAGCCAACCUCUCACUGAAGGUGGUUGGAAACUGUCGAAAUGUGAAGAAAUAACAAGAAACAAAUAUCUACAGGAGUCAUUAGUCCAUCAGUGACCUCAUGCUCUUUUAACAAGACUUGGUGAUUUCAGGCUAGCCAGGUUUAAGAUCUUAAUCUGCAAACAAGAUCUCCACCUGUCUCAUGGUUUUCUUUGGAGACCUUCCAGCGCUGACCAGUCUUGACCUGGUUUGACUUAAGGAUGAACUCUGCUCUGUGAAUGCCAAGACAGACAGAAGAGAGUGGGAGAUCCUUCCCACUCCCCCCAGGCUGGGAUUCGGGGCACAGGACACACUUUCUUAUUGCUUCCCACACCUGACUUGUGUUCUGCAUCACUUGUGGAGUCUCACAACCAUCUCUUCGUGGCCUGGAUCAGGAACAGAAAAGCGUUCUCUGGAAUGAUUGCCGGCCAUUGUAAGCAACAGCUCUGAGCUGCCACGUAGGGCUGCGUUUGAACCGGUGACCUAGGAACAAAAUAAAUUAUGUGCAGGCUGAGGUACGGAGAUGGUGAGUGACAGAAGAAUAGUGCUCAGAAACGGUUUUCAAGAGAUUCUGUAUUCAUUUAAGUAAUGUAACUGUUUAGCCAAUUUAUUCAUUUGACAAGUUCCUUUCUAACCAUCCUAAUUCACCAUUUAGCCUAAGAUGGCCUUCAUUAGUUUAUUAGAUAUUCAUUGAAAGAGAUUUCAGCAUAAAUACAGUUCCAGAGAGGAUUACCGCCCAGGGAAUCUAUUCUUUUAACCGACUUAUUCGGCUAUCGAAUAUUUGUUGAAAUGGACUCGUAUUUACUUAGUCUCCUAAUGAAGUCUAGAAAAGCUUUUCUGCAAAGGGAAUAUUGUUUUGUCAAAAUUAGCUUACUUAAAUAGUUUUCAAAGCAGUCUGAGAACAAAGAUUUCAAAGCUCCAGCUCCAGCCUAAUAUUUACUUUUUACACUGUACAGUAGUUUAGACUUGCCAGGAAAAGUGCACUUGCUUUUUUGUUUUGUUUUGUUUAAAUUUCUCUGCUUCUAGUUGUGAGAUAUAUAUAUGUCAUUUCUAGGGGUAUGGAACUAAUUGAGGAAUAUGUCCUGCCCUUGUUGAGGUGAACAGGGCAGAUAAAUAAAAACUCCAUUGGACAUAAAUCUCUUCUGCUAACAUCAAAGAAACAGGAUCCUGCUAAGUGUAUUUGUAUAAUGCAGUAAUUUAUGCAAAAAGCAGCUUUUGUCAGCAAUGCAACAAAGCAGCUUUGAUAAAUGUCCCCUAAUUUAUUGUCAUGUAUCUCAAAUCAAAGUAAAACAUUUACAGCCUGCAUACUGAAGGAACCCAGGCCCAGGGUACUUAAAGGGUUUCUCUCCCUUUCCAUCUCCCCCUCCCUUUUUUUAAAAAAAGUACAAAAAGCUAAGUUGGUCAAAAGGUUAAAAAGGAUCUGUUUUGAAUGCUAAGUACUUUAUACAAAUUAUGAGGAAAAAAUAAUAAUGAAGCUGCUUAAAGACUGACAGAAAAGCCUGUACAAAUUCAGAUUAAAAAAUCCACUUAGCUUUUCUCUUAUGGGUGCUGUUUGACGAAUCAUAAUGUGGACGCUAAUUGGGUUUUACAGGGACAAUUCCAGUUUCUCAGAUUUUGAAGGAAUAAAAUGGUGAGUGUAGAUGGUGGCUGUUGAGAGUCUGUGCUUCUCAUCUGCAUAUUCUUCUGAGUCUUUCAUAUUCAUGGCACAUUUUGGAAGUUGGAUCAAGUGUGAGUUGUGGGGGGAACUUUUACUACUGACUUCAGGGGGGAAAAUCACACCUUAGAAGACGAGAAGGCCAAUAGCACCACAAGCUCCAUCCCCACUGAAGGGCUGAUGGUACUUCAUGGCGCAGAAAUGUGUUGACUUUUCUCCCUACUUACUGGG